RNAcentral lists this ribosomal RNA (460 nucleotides) under uncultured bacterium. RNAcentral's name for it is "partial 16S ribosomal RNA". It matches the Rfam family "Bacterial small subunit ribosomal RNA", at positions 338 to 795 of the family's 1533-position model. The record is from RNAcentral.
CCUACGGGCGGCAGCAGUGAGGAAUAUUGGUCAAUGGACGCAAGUCUGAACCAGCCAUGCCGCGUGCAGGAAGAAGGUGCUAUGCAUUGUAAACUGCUUUUAUACGGGGGUAAUUACAGAUACGUGUAUCUGGAUGAAAGUACCGUAUGAAUAAGGAUCGGCUAACUCCGUGCCAGCAGCCGCGGUAAUACGGAGGAUCCGAGCGUUACCCGGAUUUAUUGGGUUUAAAGGGAGCGUAGGUGGAUUGUUAAGUCAGUUGUGAAAGUUUGCGGCUCAACCGUAAAAUUGCAGUUGAAACUGGCAGUCUUGAGUACAGUAGAGGUGGGCGGAAUUCGUGGUGUAGCGGUGAAAUGCUUAGAUAUCACGAAGAACUCCGAUUGCGAAGGCAGUUCACUGUACUGCAACUGACACUGAGGCUCGAAAGUGUGGGUAUCAAACAGGAUUAGAUACCCGGGUAGUC